Molecule: ribosomal RNA, 180 nt
Filed under: uncultured Glomeromycotina
Lineage: Eukaryota; Fungi; Glomeromycota
Description: partial small subunit ribosomal RNA
Rfam family: Eukaryotic small subunit ribosomal RNA (bases 90-180)
Source: RNAcentral
GGCCUGGCUGGGUGGUCUUGCCGCAAGGUAAGCACUGCUUUGGUCGGGUCUUUCCUUCUAGGGAACUAGCGUGCCCUUAACUGGGUGCGUUAGGGAUCUAGGACUUUUACUUUGAAAAAAUUAGAGUGUUUAAAACAGGCUUAUGCUUGAAUACAUUAGCAUGGAAUAACGGAAUAGGAC